UCCAGACUCCUACGGGAGGCAGCAGUGGGGGAUAUUGCACAAUGGGGGGAACCCUGAUGCAGCGACGCCGCGUGGGUGAAGGAGCGUUUCGGCGCGUAAAGCCCUAUCGGCAGGGAAGAAGGAGGACGGUACCUGACUAAGAAGCCCCGGCUAACUACGUGCCAGCAGCCGCGGUAAUACGUAGGGGGCAAGCGUUAUCCGGGUUUACUGGGUGUAAAGGGGGCGCAGACGGCAGCGCAAGCCAGGAGUGAAAGCCCGGGGCCCAACCCCGGGACUGCUCUUGGAACUGCGCGGCUGGAGUGCAGGAGGGGCAGGCGGAAUUCCUGGUGUAGCGGUGAAAUGCGUAGAUAUCAGGAGGAACACCGGUGGCGAAGGCGGCCUGCUGGACUGCGACUGACGUUGAGGCCCGAAAGCGUGGGGAGCAAACAGGAUUAGAUACCCUCGUAC
RNAcentral lists this ribosomal RNA (447 nucleotides) under uncultured bacterium. RNAcentral describes it as "partial 16S ribosomal RNA". It matches the Rfam family "Bacterial small subunit ribosomal RNA", at positions 330 to 793 of the family's 1533-position model. The record is from RNAcentral.